Molecule: ribosomal RNA, 1459 nt
Filed under: human gut metagenome
Description: bacterial LSU rRNA
Rfam family: Bacterial large subunit ribosomal RNA
Source: RNAcentral
UGUGUAUAAGAGACAGGCGUAAUAGCUCACUGGUCGAGUGAUCCUGCGCCGAAAAUUUCCGGGGCUAAAACGUACUACCGAAGCUACGGCAUCAUUUAUGAUGGGUAGGGGAGCUUCGUAUGCAGGCUGAAGCAUGACCGUAAGGACAUGUGGACAGUAUACGAGUGAGAAUGUUGGCAUGAGUAGCGAGACGUGGGUGAGAAUCCCACGGGCCGUAAACCCAAGGUUUCCAGGGGAAGGUUCGUCCGCCCUGGGUUAGUCGGGACCUAAGCCGAGGCCGAAAGGCGUAGGUGAUGGACAACAGGUUGAUAUUCCUGUACCGCCAAUAAGCGUUUGAGAGAUGGAGUGACACAGUAGGAUAAGCUAACCGUACUGUUGGUUAUGUACGGCUAAGCAUUGAGGCAGUCUAAAUAGGCAAAUCCGUUUAGACAAUGCUAGGAUGUGAUGGGGAAGCCCUUCGGGGCGAAGUAGCUGAUUUCACACUGUCAAGAAAAGCUUCUAUCGAGUUUAAAGGCGCCCGUACCGUAAACCGACACAGGUGGGUGAGGAGAGUAUCCUAAGGCCAGCGAGAGAACUAUUGUUAAGGAACUCGGCAAAAUGACCCCGUAACUUAGGGAGAAGGGGUGCCUGUCUAUGACAGGCCGCAGAGAAUAGGCCCAAGCGACUGUUUACCAAAAACACAGGUUUCUGCUAAGUCGCAAGACGAUGUAUAGGAGCUGACGCCUGCCCGGUGCUGGAAGGUUAAGGGGAUCUGUUAGAGCAAUCGAAGCAGUGAACUUAAGCCCCAGUAAACGGCGGCCGUAACUAUAACGGUCCUAAGGUAGCGAAAUUCCUUGUCGGGUAAGUUCCGACCCGCACGAAAGGCGUAAUGAUUUGGGCACUGUCUCGACAAUGCACCCGGUGAAAUUGAAAUACCAGUGAAGAUGCUGGUUACCUGCGCCAGGACGGAAAGACCCCAUGGAGCUUUACUCCAGCUUGAUACUGGGAUUCGGUACUACCUGUACAGGAUAGGUGGGAGGCUUCGAUCACGGGACGCCAGUUUCGUGUGAGCCGCUGUUGGGAUACCACCCUUGUAGUACUGGAUUCCUAACCUACAGCCGUGAACCGGCUGGGGGACAAUGUCUGGCGGGGAGUUUGACUGGGGCGGUCGCCUCCGAAAGGGUAUCGGAGGCGCUCAAAGGUUCCCUCAGAAUGGUUGGAAACCAUUCGAAGAGUGCAAAGGCAGAAGGGAGCUUGACUGCGACACCGACGGGUGGAGCAGGUACGAAAGUAGGACUUAGUGAUCCGGUGGUAUAAAGUGGGAUUGCCAUCGCUCAACGGAUAAAAGCUACCCUGGGGAUAACAGGCUUAUCACUCCCAAGAGUUCACAUCGACGGAGUGGUUUGGCACCUCGAUGUCGGCUCAUCGCAUCCUGGGGCUGUAGUAGGUCCCAAGGGUUGGGCUGUUCGCCCAUUAAAGC